RNAcentral lists this ribosomal RNA (1237 nucleotides) under Chamaecyparis pisifera (sawara cypress). RNAcentral describes it as "eukaryotic LSU rRNA". The stretch from base 806 to 959 matches the Rfam family "5.8S ribosomal RNA". Lineage: Eukaryota; Viridiplantae; Streptophyta; Pinopsida; Cupressales; Cupressaceae. The record is from RNAcentral.
GGGGAAGUAAAAGUCGUAACAAGGUUACCGUAGGUGAACCUGCGGUAGGAUCAUUGUCGGUUCCGGUCCCUUAACUGUGUAGGGGAAGUAGACGAGCACGGCAUGCCGGAGCUCGUUUCUCCCCGCACCCAAAAUCUUGACGACGUGCGGACGGUGGGUUGCAUAGCAUCGCGCUGCGUGUCCCAUCUCUAAGUCCUGCGUCGUUGGGGUCGAGGGGUUAUUGAUUGCCGUGGUUGAAUGCAUGUCUCUUCGCUAGGGGAGAGAAGCUCAUGUCCGAUCUGAUUUGCGACUUGUGCGCUCGAACGGCGUCCGCGCCGGGAGGAGUGGUCUUGUCCAGUUGCAAUCAGGGGAGACCUGAGCAUUUUCCCCCCGUAGAGGCUGCAUGCUUCGAUUGCGCGCGCGGCGCUGUGCCAGGGAUCCGUCGUUUCGACGAUGGCAAGUCGGGACUGCCGCAACCCCCUGUUGCGUUGCUCAGGUGGCAACACGCCGAUUGGAGGGAACUUUGUCUAGGACGGGUGCACUCGCGCAUUUUUGCGGGGACAAGAAACCCCCCGUUCGACAACACGGUUCUCCCAAGGCGGUGUCCACCUUUGCGAGGGGGAUGGGGCGGGGACAACACCGCAUUGUUCUUCGGGUGCACCCCUUCAUUGAGGGAGGCAGAGCCUCUCGAUUUUUGGGGUGCCCGAAGACCGGAUGUGUCAACACCAACACACGGGUGCACCACGCACCUCUGAAAUCCAAGCAUUGAAGUGCGAUUCGAGCGCCUUGCGCGUUUGGGUCGACAAGAAAAGAAAAAUAAAAACACGACUCUCGGCAACGGAUAUCUCGGCUCUCGCCACGAUGAAGAAUGUAGCGAAAUGCGAUACUUAGUGUGAAUUGCAGAAUCCCGUGAAUCAUCGAGUCUUUGAACGCAAGUUGCGCCCGAGGCCUCGGCCAAGGGCACGUCUGCUUGGGCGUCGCACUCCAAGUUCGCCCUCCCUUGCGGAGGAGCGUAGAUGGCCGUCCGUGUCCGAUUGUGGUGCGGUCGGCUGAAAUGAGCACGUGGUCCGUCGAUUUGUCGCGACGAGCGGUGGCCUACGAAGGUCGGCGUUGGUUUGCGCGGUUCGAGUGAGGCCGAGUGUUGAACUUUAAAUCGGGCACAGCGGCCUGCCAUAGUGCGGGCACGUUGGGCCCCCUUCCGCGUCCCCAAGUCAGGCGUGAAUACCCGCUGAGUUUAAGCAUAUCAAUAAGCGGAGGA